GGGCAACCCAGUAAAGCGGCGUAAGGGUGAGUAAUAGGUAGCUAACGUACCCUCCAGACGCGAAUAAUUUCCCGAAAGGGAUUGUAAUGCGCGAUGAGACCACGCCUCCUUCGGGAGGAGGGGUCAAAGGCCGGGGACCCUUCGGGGCCCGACGGCUGGGGGAGCGGGCGACCUCCGAUUAGCUAGUUGGCGGGGUAACGGCCCACCAAGGCGAUGAUCGGUAGCCGGGCUGAGAGGCUGUCCGGCCACACUGGCACUGAGACACUGGCCAGACUCCUACGGGAGGCUGCAGUCGCGAAUUUUUCACAAUGGGCGCAAGCCUGAUGAAGCCACGCCGUGUGCGGGAUGAAGGCUCUCUGAGUUGUAAACCGCUGUCAAGUGGAGGGAACUGUACGGUGUUAACAGCGCCGUGCUUGACUGUCCGCUAAAGGAAGCCCCGGCUAAACAUGUGCCAGCAGCCGCGGUAAUACAUGUGGGGCAAGCGUUGUUCG
This 491-nucleotide ribosomal RNA is filed under the name uncultured bacterium. RNAcentral's name for it is "bacterial SSU rRNA". It matches the Rfam family "Bacterial small subunit ribosomal RNA", at positions 77 to 547 of the family's 1533-position model. The record is from RNAcentral.